GCUGGGCAUGGUGGCGCAUGCCUGUAAUCCCAGCUACUUGGGAGGCUGAGGCAGGAGAAUCACUUGAACCAGGGAGUUGGAGGUUGUGGUGAGCCGAGAUAGCGCCACUGCACUCCAGCCUGGUGACAGAGCGAGAGUCCAUCUCUAAAUAAAUAAAAUUAGCUGGUCAUGGUGGCGUGUGCUUGUAUUCCCAGCUAUUCAGGAGGCUGAAGUAGGAGAAUAGCUUGAACCUAGGAGUUUGAGUCUGCAGUGAGCUCUGCUUGUGCCACUGCAGUCCAACCUGGGCGACAGAGUGAGACCCUGUCUCA
Molecule: unclassified non-coding RNA, 308 nt
Organism: Cercocebus atys (sooty mangabey)
Lineage: Eukaryota; Metazoa; Chordata; Mammalia; Primates; Cercopithecidae
Rfam family: Metazoan signal recognition particle RNA
About the family: The signal recognition particle (SRP) is a universally conserved ribonucleoprotein.
Source: Ensembl